This 438-nucleotide ribosomal RNA is filed under the name uncultured bacterium. RNAcentral's name for it is "bacterial SSU rRNA". It matches the Rfam family "Bacterial small subunit ribosomal RNA", at positions 363 to 793 of the family's 1533-position model. The record is from RNAcentral.
CUUCCACAAUGGGCGCAAGCCUGAUGGAGCAGCACGCGUGAGUGAAGAAGGGUUUCGGCUCGUAAAGCUCUGUUGUUAAAGAAGAACACGUAUGAGAGUAACUGUUCAUACGUUGACGGUAUUUAACCAGAAAGUCACGGCUAACUACGUGCCAGCAGCCGCGGUAAUACGUAGGUGGCAAGCGUUAUCCGGAUUUAUUGGGCGUAAAGAGAGUGCAGGCGGUUUUCUUAAGUCUGAUGUGAAAGCCUUCGGCUUGACCGGAGAAGUGCAUCGGAAACUGGAUAACUUGAGUGCAGAAGAGGGUAGUGGAACUCCAUGUGUAGCGGUGGAAUGCGUAGAUAUAUGGAAGAACACCAGUGGCGAAGGCGGCUACCUGGUCUGCAACUGACGCUGAGACUCGAAAGCAUGGGUAGCGAACAGGAUUAGAUACCCUGGUAG